GACGAACGCUGGCGGCGUGCUUAACACAUGCAAGUCGAACGGAAAGGCCCUGCUUUUGUGGGGUGCUCGAGUGGCGAACGGGUGAGUAACACGUGAGUAACCUGCCCUUGACUUUGGGAUAACUUCAGGAAACUGGGGCUAAUACCGGAUAGGAGCUCCUGCUGCAUGGUGGGGGUUGGAAAGUUUCGGCGGUUGGGGAUGGACUCGCGGCUUAUCAGCUUGUUGGUGGGGUAGUGGCUUACCAAGGCUUUGACGGGUAGCCGGCCUGAGAGGGUGACCGGCCACAUUGGGACUGAGAUACGGCCCAGACUCCUACGGGAGGCAGCAGUGGGGAAUAUUGCACAAUGGGCGGAAGCCUGAUGCAGCAACGCCGCGUGCGGGACGUCGGCCUUCGGGUUGUAAACCGCUUUCGCCUGUGACGAAGCGUGAGUGACGGUAAUGGGUAAAGAAGCACCGGCUAACUACGUG
Molecule: ribosomal RNA, 468 nt
Filed under: uncultured bacterium
Lineage: Bacteria
Description: partial 16S ribosomal RNA
Rfam family: Bacterial small subunit ribosomal RNA
Source: RNAcentral